UAGUGGAUCACCAUGAGUUUCUAAUGGAUGAGCUUGGGCUUACCACAAGUUAUGGCAAUCAUCAGAAAUUUAGUACAAGUUGUCCUAGCGGAUCAUUAUGUGUUUCUGAUGAAUGGGCUUAUCACAAUUCACAAGUUAUGGCGAUCAUCAAGAGUCUAGUAUAAAAUUAUUUUGGCGGAUAAUCAGAGAGUUUCUGAUUGAUAGCAUUUCCACGAGUCCUAGUGGAUCGUCAAAAAUUUAGUACAAGAUAUGUCGUAACUUUGAAAAAAAUUGUUCACAAUUCCUUGCGAACCACCAUAAGUAUGUGAGAAAUUUCACCAACCUAUUUUUGCUUCAAAAUUAAUUCAAAUUUGUCCAAAUCAACUCCAAGUGACUCCAAAUUUGAUAUUUGACAUUCUAAUACCAAUUCCAAUAAUUUCCGAUGGUUAUUCCACCCAAUCCUUCUUUAACAAACAAGCUCAACAAAACUCAAUAAUAGUUGUUCUUCAAGUUUUCCAAUCAAACCAUCCACAAAUAAAUGGAUCUUUGGUUAUCUAUUGCACAUAUAAAGAAGAUGAAAAAGAAUGAGAAAGGAGGAGGAGGAGAUGCACAAUUUCUGGUAAAGGAUUAUAGUCGCACUACUUUUCUUAGCGAGAUUAAAUUUAAACACUGGUCCUUAAUGGGGACACAUAGUUAAAUUUUUUGCAGCUUCAUAGCCUUGCAAUAAAUAAUAAGGGGGAAAAAGACGAUGUCCUUUCGCAAUCAAAAGUUGGAAUUAAGAUUUCCUUCUUUGUUUCUUCUUUUUUUUUUUUUUUCUUUCAACCUUUGGAAUGUCUCUAUUUCAACCUUUUUAGCUUCAAAAAACAUUGCCGUUUUCUAGUAUCAUUCAAACUUCUUUUAGCUUCAAAAAGCAUUUAUGCCUCUAGCAUAAUUCAUACUUUUUGUUUUCUCCACCUCAGAAAAUGUUGUUUAGAAAUGUGUUCUCUUCCCCGCAGGAGAAAAAUCAAUAGAACCAAAUAAGCAACCUCUUUCCUUCUUGCUCGUGGCUUCUUUCCAACAUAGGUCAAUAGGUUGUUCAUUAGCUCCAGCUCGACUAAUCAUACAAAUCAAAAACAGUUCUGAACUUCGACCAACUAAGCAAUAUAUUUUUAUUUUUCUCAAGUUCUAAAAUUUUAUUGACUUUUGUCGUUUAAUGUUCCUACACUUUAGGUUAACGUAAUCCAAUCUUUUUAACGGAUAUCCUUCUCAACGUAGAAACAUAAGACUAUAAAGAAGAUAAUUUAUAUUCACAUUAAAACAAACUCCUUAAACACAAUAAAAUCUCUGGCACUUAACCGUUGAAUUGAAAUAAUGAAACUUCAAGGAAACCAAGGGAAUGUAGACUUGAGAAGUUGACUAGAAGAACCAUGCUGAUGGCAUUAUAUUGCUGUAUUGAUAGUUACUAAGCUUGUGAAGAAUUUGUACCAUUGAUAGUUACAAUAUAUUCAGAAUAGCAGAAUUUUCAUUGACAUUGUUUUCAAUCUAUCAAAAAUAAUUUGAAGUGUCUUCAUCCAUUGAACUAGAUCAUGAGUUCACUGACCCACCGAAUAAGAAAAAAUCUAGAGUUUGGCAAGAGCUCGGAUCAAACACAGAUGAGAAUGGUGUUUCUGUUACUGUGUAAAUGAAAUUAAAAUAUUAGAAACAAUACUUCUUUUGACAUGUUUAGUAACUGGUUGCUAUGUUGCAUGGACUCUUCAUUUUAACUGCUAAACCCGUGUCGGCACGACACUAGUACUGGUAAGAAUGUGGUAUUCGUACCGGGUGUGAUCAAUCGAGAUCGGGUACUUUGACCACAAUCCAUGGCUGCUUGCUAGUGCCUAGUGGCAACAACUUGAGAAAUUACCAAAAUGAAAGAUUGAACUAUCAACUGCACUCCAUAACCUAUAGUAUUUCACAGAAUAUUUCUCAUAAUUUAGGAUAUUUAUAUAGUAUCUUUAGAAUUUUGAAUUACUUUCAGCCAAGACCCUGCAUCCGUAUACGUACCUUGAUUACCCCAGAAUCAUAAAAAUUUGAUUAUGAAGGAUCCAACUUCUAGAUCCGCUCUCUGAUUGGAUACCUGCACCCGAGUCCGAGCAACAUAGACUGUUUCUCUAUGAUAACUGGCAGCAGGAAAAAAAGCUAUAUGGGAAGUUAAAAGCUUUGAGAAAAAAUGAGUUGAAGUAAAAGAUUUGCUUCUUAUCUGCUCAAAGAGGAACAAGCUGCAGACAUACUGGAAGAAGCAAUAUAGUUAAGUAUAGUUGAACUCGAAACGCAGACCUUACUGUCUCACUUGAACCAAAAAACAUUUCACCCCUUUAAUUAAAACCUUAGCUAUUCAACAAAUGCCUUAUUGAUAAAAGAUUUUAUUUCUAAAGUAUAAAUUUUGGUAUUAAAAUCUGAAACAUAGAAAGAAAUGUAAGCCAAACCAAAAGGCAAUAAACAUGUCAACUUGGAAACUGGAAAGAAAUAGCUCUAAAAUAUUUCAUUCUGGCUUCGCCAUAUAUAAGAUAAAAGUUGUGGUUCUCUCGGUUGUUGUCUUAGCAAAGAUAAUCAGAACUUCCUAUCUCAAAUAACAAUAGAUUGAAUUAAUCAAUCAUAAGGGGAGCUAAAAACUCCACUUUUCCUCUUCUGUACUAAAAUAUAAACGAAAAGGAAAUAUGAUAUUCCCAUUGAAAUAAAUAUGUUAUUUUGAUUCCAACUAUACCAAAUGGUGACCUAACAUUGCAGAGAGAGAUAUACCAAAAUCGCAUGAAAGAGGCAACAGCACGUGACUGGGAAAAACAUAGACUAAAAAUUGUAAUAAUGCAAACCAAAUUUCAACAGUUUAAGUCUGAUAUUGUCGUCUCUUCUCAGAUCUGCAUUAAAGGAGUAAUCAUACUACAAUUAAGGGUUAUUAACAUCUUUUCUCCUCUCAUUACCACCGCCAAACCCACGAGCAGAGCCAAAUAGCACAUCCUAUUCAUGCCUAGAACAUUCCACUCUUUCAAAACACAUGUCUUCAGCCGCAUUGAUUAUCAGCUUCAUUUAUUGGAACUAGAAUAACUUAAUCUCAUAGUAAGGAUCUGUCCUAAAGAAACAGAGCGAAAAGAGGCAAUUGCAGGUUGUUUUUUCUAAGAACUUCCCAAUUUAAGAGAAAUUAAAAGUAAGAAACAAUAAUUUACUUCACUAAUAGUACAAAAUCUCAAGAACCAACUUUUCAACUCGGGGAAUCAUGGCAGCCUGGUUGGUUGGCUAUCUGAACCUCCACUUCGUUGUUUGGGAUUCCAUUCCCCACCUUGUAAUCUCCUCACUAUAUCCCCUUCCCCUUCCCACUUAUGUAUAAUUAAAAAAAUAAUUAGAAAAUUUUAAAAUCAGUGAUGUUAAAUCACUAUGUUCAUGUCUAAGGUACAGGAAGUUCUCAGUGCAACAAACUUGGAUGUACAUUCAUUUGACUUCUCCCAGGUGCCCUGCCGAUAUCAAAAUUUAGUAAAUUUUAUAUCAAACUCAGAAACUAAGUCUUCUUUUAAUAUAUACAGAUGCAUCAAGUCUUGGUGGAACUUUUAACAAAAGUUAAAAAGUAUACAUCCAUGAUUUAUUGUGGAAGUAAAAGAUAAACCGUAACGAUGACAAUGUUGGCUCAAUCUUGGACAACACCUAAAGAUUUUGCUGGUUAGGUCCAUCCUAAGACGCGAUAUCUCAGCUUCUCAAGCUACUUCUGUCUCUUUAGCUUUCUAUUUGUAUUUUUUUUCUUCUCUUUUCCUUCUUCUUUGGAAUGACGACUGUUUGCCUUUAUUCUAAGCUUCAUAAGUUACCAACCAUUUUCCAAUUGGAUUCUAGAGAAGUUAAAGAGGAAGAAAGCUCACUGCUGGAAAUUGCAGUGUUGCUGGAGGCGGAAGCUUAACGGUGAUUAGCCUUGUGUUGGGUGCUAUGCUACCAUAUAAAGAUAUAUUUAUUGAAUUUUUGUUCUUUAAGGUUCCUCCUGGCAGUUUUAGGUAUACUUCUGAAGGAACUAAUAAUAAAAUAGUUCAUUUGCUGUGUUUAAUUAUGCUCAAUCUUUUUUAGAAAAUAAUUCAGUAGAGUUUUUUUUUUAAUGGAUUUGGUAAUGCAAGAGUUAGCAUUCUGAUAGU
RNAcentral lists this long non-coding RNA (4103 nucleotides) under Nicotiana tabacum (common tobacco). Its description in RNAcentral is "long non-coding RNA (NTAB_LNC001867)". Lineage: Eukaryota; Viridiplantae; Streptophyta; Magnoliopsida; Solanales; Solanaceae. The record is from RNAcentral.